Molecule: long non-coding RNA, 404 nt
Organism: Crotalus tigris (Tiger rattlesnake)
Lineage: Eukaryota; Metazoa; Chordata; Lepidosauria; Squamata; Viperidae
Exons: 3
Source: RefSeq, a predicted model, not a curated record
CAUCUUAAAGAGGUUGCUCCUCCAAAAAGUGCACCCCGCUCGCCCCCUUCAAGCAAAUCCAGUGGAAAGGGCACAAAGAGACCCAGCCUCCUAGUCUCUCGUACCGGCAUCCAGCCGCCUGCUUAGGGACAGGAAGUCGGCCAUGCCGAGAAGGUCGUUCUGAAUGGAAGUGGAAGGACGGCCACAGAAACGGACAGGAAGUUGGCCAUCCCGGGGAGGUCGGUGUGUAAGACAGUGGAGGACUACUGCGCAUGUGUGACUGGAAGUUGGCAGGCCCUAGGAGUAGGUAACCCAAAACACUCGAAGAGCCACUUGGACCCAUUUACAACCGAAAACAUCUUUUAUGACUCAUGGACUUCUACUCCCAGAAGUCCUGAGUCAGCAUAGCUGGGCUAGCUAGCUCU